RNAcentral lists this ribosomal RNA (256 nucleotides) under uncultured bacterium. Its description in RNAcentral is "partial 16S ribosomal RNA". It matches the Rfam family "Bacterial small subunit ribosomal RNA", at positions 524 to 776 of the family's 1533-position model. The record is from RNAcentral.
GACGUAGGUGGCGAACGUUAUCCGGAAUUAUUGGGCGUAAAGGGUGCGUAGGUGGCCUGACAAGUUAUCAGUGGCAAAUCGAGGCUCAACCUCGUGGAAACUGGUAAUACUGUCCGGCUUGAGUGCAGGAGAGGUUAAUGGAACUCUAUGUGGAGCGGUAAAAUGCACAGAUAUAUAGAUGAACAUCAAUAACGGCGAAGGCAGUUAACUAGUCUGUCACUGACACUGAGGCACGAAAGCGUGGGGAGCAAAACGG